GACGAACGCUGGCGGCGUGCUUAACACAUGCAAGUCGAACGGAAAGGCCCUGCUUGCAGGGUACUCGAGUGGCGAGCGGGUGAGUAACACGUGGGUGAUCUGCCCUGCACUUCGGGAUAAGCCUGGGAAACUGGGUCUAAUACCGGAUAGGAGCCAUUUUUAGUGUGAUGGUUGGAAAGUUUUUUCGGUGUAGGAUGAGCUCGCGGCCUAUCAGCUUGUUGGUGGGGUAAUGGCCUACCAAGGCGGUGACGGGUAGCCGGCCUGAGAGGGUGGACGGCCACAUUGGGACUGAGAUACGGCCCAGACUCCUACGGGAGGCAGCAGUGGGGAAUAUUGCACAAUGGGCGCAAGCCUGAUGCAGCGACGCCGCGUGGGGGAUGACGGCCUUCGGGUUGUAAACUCCUUUCGCUAGGGACGAAGCUUUUUGUGACGGUACCUAGAUAAGAAGCACCGGCUAACUACGUG
This 465-nucleotide ribosomal RNA is filed under the name uncultured bacterium. Its description in RNAcentral is "partial 16S ribosomal RNA". It matches the Rfam family "Bacterial small subunit ribosomal RNA", at positions 28 to 507 of the family's 1533-position model. The record is from RNAcentral.